RNAcentral lists this long non-coding RNA (588 nucleotides) under Panax ginseng (ginseng). RNAcentral's name for it is "long non-coding RNA (PGIN_LNC017065)". Lineage: Eukaryota; Viridiplantae; Streptophyta; Magnoliopsida; Apiales; Araliaceae. The record is from RNAcentral.
UUUAUUCAAAGUUACUUGGACCCCUACCCAAUUCAAAUAUUAACAUCAUUUAUGGAUUUGUUUUAGUUGAAUUAAGUUUCACUAGUAUAAAAAGAGCCUGUGUGAAAGAGUAUUUUAUAAAGUAUAGCCUUUGUAUAAAUAAAUAAAAAUAGUCUUUAAUAAAGAGCCUUUUCAUAUAGCGCAAUAUUUUUAAAACAGUCUAAAUGAACAAAAGCUAUUUGAUAACUAAUCUAUAUAGUAUGUGUGAUAACUAACUUGUUUUGAAUACAAUAUUUUACUCUAUUACCCUUAGAUUAGUGUGUAAAAACUUAGGAUUGGGGGAAAUAAUGUAAAUGACCAGGUUCUCAUUCUCUUUCUUUUUAAGAGUCAAAAAGAGGUUAGACUAAUUUUUAUCAAACAACAAAAGGCUUUGAACAAAAAUGGGUGAUGUCAAAAUGAGUUGUUGCUAUGUAUUGCUAGAGCUUUUUUUCGAAUUAUAAUUGUUAUGUAUAUUAAUAAAUGAGAUUGGGAAUUGGGUAAAAUUAUGAAAUUGGCCUACUAUAUCAAAUAUACUGUUAAAAUAGUAUCAAUUCUAGCUUAAAAAAUCUG